AGACCUGGCACAUAGCCUAGUGUCUGAAUGUCAAACUGAAUGUUAUGACAUUCAUCCUUGACAGCAGAUACUGAAUUAUAGGCAGGUUGGUUUUUCUGCUACAGUUCAGUAUGUAUUUCAGUCUGUUUUUCAGGAGAAUAACAGACCUGGCAUAUGGCCUAUUGUCUAAAUGUCAAACUGAAUGUUAUGACCUUUAUCUCUGACAGCUGAUACUGAAUUAUAGACUGGUUGGUCUUUUACAGUUCAUCAUUUAGUACAGUCUGUUUUUCAGGAGAAUAACA
RNAcentral lists this long non-coding RNA (281 nucleotides) under Lathyrus oleraceus (garden pea). Its description in RNAcentral is "Pisum sativum (pea) long non-coding RNA (PSAT_LNC011224)". Lineage: Eukaryota; Viridiplantae; Streptophyta; Magnoliopsida; Fabales; Fabaceae. The record is from RNAcentral.